Molecule: long non-coding RNA, 677 nt
Filed under: Mytilus galloprovincialis (Mediterranean mussel)
Lineage: Eukaryota; Metazoa; Mollusca; Bivalvia; Mytilida; Mytilidae
Source: RNAcentral
AAUACUUUUAGUUUUCGCACUCUAACUUGAGUAAAAGUGAAUAGAAAUCUAUGAAAUUUUAACACAAGGUUUAUGACCACAAAAGGAAGGUUGGGAUUGAUUUUGGGAGUUUUGGUCCCAACAUUUUAGGAAUUAGGGGCCAAAAAGGGCCCAAAUAAGCAUUUUCUUGGUUUUCGCACUAUAACUUUAGUUUAAGUUAAUAGAAAUCUAUGAAAUUUUGACACAAGGUUUAUGACCACAAAAGAAAGGUUGGUAUUGAUUUUGGGAGUUUUGGUUCCAACAGUUUAGGAAUUAGGGGCCAAAAAAGGACCCAAAUAAGCAUUAUUCUUGGUUUUCGCACAAUAACUUUAGUUUAAGUAAAUAGAAAUCAAUGAAAUUUAAACACAAGGUUUAUGACCACAAAAGGAAGGUUGGUAUUGAUUUUGGGAGUUUUGGUCCCAACAGUUUAGGAAUUAGGGGCCAAAAAGGGACCCAAAUAAGCAUUUUUCUUGGUUUUCGCACCAUAACUUUAGUAUAAUUAAAUAGAAAUCUAUGAAAUUUAAACACAAGGUUUAUGACCAUAAAAGGAAGGUUGGUAUUGAUUUUGGGAGUUUUGGUCCCAACAGUUUAGGAAUAAAGGGCCCAAAGGGUCCAAAAUUAAACUUUGUUUGAUUUCAUCAGAAAUUGAAUAAUUGGGG